UGGCACUUUGUUUUUGUCUUCAGUUUUUGU
RNAcentral lists this non-coding RNA (30 nucleotides) under Mus musculus (house mouse). Lineage: Eukaryota; Metazoa; Chordata; Mammalia; Rodentia; Muridae. The record is from RNAcentral.